Molecule: ribosomal RNA, 210 nt
Filed under: uncultured Romboutsia sp.
Lineage: Bacteria; Bacillati; Bacillota; Clostridia; Peptostreptococcales; Peptostreptococcaceae
Description: partial 16S ribosomal RNA
Rfam family: Bacterial small subunit ribosomal RNA
Source: RNAcentral
UGCGUAGGUGGUUUCUUAAGUCAGAGGUGAAAAGGGCUACGGCUCAACCCGUAGUAAGCCUUUGAAACUGGGAAAACUUGAGUGCAGGAGAGGAGAGUGGAAUUCCUAGUGUAGCGGUGAAAUGCGUAGAUAUUAGGAGGAACACCAGUUGCGAAGGCGGCUCUCUGGACUGUAACUGACACUGAGGCACGAAAGCGUGGGGAGCAAACA